CAGUAGCCACGGUAAUACGAAGGGUGCAAGCGUUACUCGGAAUUACUGGGCGUAAAGCGUGCGUAGGUGGUGGUUUAAGUCCGUUGUGAAAGCCCUGGGCUCAACCUGGGAAUUGCAGUGGAUACUGGGUCACUAGAGUGUGGUAGAGGAUAGUGGAAUUUCCGGUGUAGCAGUGAAAUGCGUAGAGAUCGGAAGGAACAUCUGUGGCGAAGGCGACUAUCUGGGCCAACACUGACACUGAGGCACGAAAGCGUGGGGAGCAAACAGGAUUAGAUACCCCCGUAGUCCCUGUCUCUUAUAC
RNAcentral lists this ribosomal RNA (301 nucleotides) under uncultured bacterium. RNAcentral describes it as "partial 16S ribosomal RNA". It matches the Rfam family "Bacterial small subunit ribosomal RNA", at positions 509 to 807 of the family's 1533-position model. The record is from RNAcentral.